Vombatus ursinus (common wombat) is the source of this 1803-nucleotide RNA transcript. It is a transcript of the gene named transmembrane protein 216, with no coding region annotated. The record is from RefSeq and is a predicted model, not a curated record. NCBI's taxonomy places the organism in Eukaryota, Metazoa, Chordata, Mammalia, Diprotodontia, Vombatidae. The transcript has 6 exons.
GCCUAGCUGGUCUCCAGGAGCCCGGGCGCCGCGCCAGCAGUUUCCAUGGGGACUGAGUGGCGAUGGCACCGCGAGGCCGCAGGCUGUCGUCCAUCUCCCUGGAGAUCCUGCUCUUUCUCAAUGGCUGGUACAGCGCCACCUACUUCCUACUGGAGCUUUUCGUCUUCAUGUACAAAGGUCUCCUGUUACCAUACCCAACAGCCAACCUAGUUCUUGACCUGGUCAUGCUCUUCCUUUACCUUGGCAUUGAAAUCAUCCGCCUUUUUUUUGCUACAAAAGGGAACCUCUGUCAAAGGAUGAUGCCUCUUGCGAUCAGCUUGGCAAUGACCUUUCCGUCAGCCAUGAUGGCUUUCUAUUACCUCCUGCUGCAGACCUACGUUCUGCGCCUUGAAGCUGUGAUGAGCACCAUCCUGCUCCUUUUCUGUGGCUUAGAGCUGGUGCUCGAGGUGAUCACACUCACCACCUUCAGCAGCAUGGAUGCGUAUUGAAGUACAAGCGGCCUGUUGAGCCCUGGUGACAUGGCCCCCUGACGCCCAGAGGCACAUGCUCUUGGGGAGGCUGGCCCUUUGACUCAGUCUGGCAGCAUCUUCUAGACCAGCCUAGAGAAUGUGUUCUCCAUCUCCUUCAGGAUAGCAGAGCACACAGCCCUCGCCUAGGCCGUUGCGCGUGGUCCUUACUCGGCACUCCCGUUUGUCACAACCAGAGCACUGGGUUUGGAUUGUCUAGGCCCCUCGUCUGUCCUUUGUAAUCCUGAGGCCUUACUAGGCUGUGAGACUUGUGGCGAGUGACGUCCCUUCUGUACUUCAGUCUCCUCGUCAGUCAAACGGACUCAGGGGCCCCUCGUAGGGUCUCUUCUAGCCCCAAAUCCACCAUCACCUCCAAAUCAGUUACACGUUACUUUCUAGUAACCUGUUGUAGCAGUGAAGACAUCUCCCCUGAAGGGACUCUGGACACUUCGGGCCCUUUCUGGUACUUUAAGGUGUGACUUUCCUGCGUUUCUCCACUGUGGCAUUAGCACUUGGUGCUGGCUUUUGAAAUUCUACUCGUGCUUGGGGAAAAACAGUUCAUAGACCUUCCCACUAUCUAAUGUGAAAGUGGGCGUGACCAGUCUCAUCUCUUUUGUACGUUGCCACUGCAGUCUAACUGAAAAAGGCAAAGACUGUUGGACAAACCAAGUUCACCGUGAUUUCCCUGAAUCCUACAUCUUAGGACAACAUCCUUUGAGGCCUGACUUGACCUAAUCCUUGGCACAUAGCUAGAGUGAUGACCCAUGUUCUAUGGCCUCCCUAAUUCACUCCGGGGACACCGUUUGCUCAUUUUACAGAUAAGCAAACAGAGACCCAGAGAGACAAAGUGAUUUGCCCAGUAGCAAAUGGCACCCAAACUGGUCCUUGGGUCUUGUGACUCUACAUCCCGUGCUUUUCAUUCUGUCCCACCAGGAUGGAGGAAAGGGGAGAGGAGGGGGCAGAGUGCUUCAUUUGGAUUUAGAGGAGCCAAUUUCUGCUCUUCCGUUUGUUACCCAAGGGACCUCAAGCAAGUCCCUUUCAUGUCUAAAAUCCUGGUUCUUAUUUUAGCUUCUCAAUUUGGGUGAAAGCAGGUUCUGUUCACGUGAAGUGGUUUCAGGAUGUUUCGAUACUUUCUUCAGCCCCUCUGCAAAUUCACCCCUUUCCAGCCUAGGCCCACGUGACCAGGAAGGCAGAAGAAGGGGAAUUAGAAUCCAGCUAACUCCCAAGGGGGCAGCUAGGUGGCGCCAUGGUGCACAGAGCCUGGGCCUGCAGUCAGAAGACCACCUGAAUUCAAACC